This 125-nucleotide ribosomal RNA is filed under the name Miriquidica garovaglioi. RNAcentral describes it as "partial small subunit ribosomal RNA". It matches the Rfam family "Eukaryotic small subunit ribosomal RNA", at positions 1657 to 1779 of the family's 1831-position model. Lineage: Eukaryota; Fungi; Ascomycota; Lecanoromycetes; Lecanorales; Lecanoraceae. The record is from RNAcentral.
CCUUUGUACACACCGCCCGUCGCUACUACCGAUUGAAUGGCUCAGUGAGGCUUCCGGACUGGCCCAGAGAGGUCGGCAACGACCACUCAGGGCCGGAAAGUUCGUCAAACUCGGUCAUUUAGAGG